This 1424-nucleotide long non-coding RNA is filed under the name Canis lupus dingo (dingo). Its description in RNAcentral is "lncRNA (ENSCAFG00020001870.1)". Lineage: Eukaryota; Metazoa; Chordata; Mammalia; Carnivora; Canidae. The record is from RNAcentral.
CUCGGCACAGAAACUUGGAAGGGCUCUGGGGAAAGGGAGGCUGGGGGGCCGUCCCGGUCCUGCCACCUGUCGUUUGUUUCAUAGGAGCAGAGGGGCCUCGUUUCAAAAAGGACACAUCGGGCCAUCGGCCUCAACAUUUGGGCCGGAACAGCGGUGCUGGAAGAGGCCUUCGGAAACGACUGCUUUCCAGGUCUCCAUCAGAGGACACCUUGCUGUCCCUCCUGCCCUUGACAGUCUGCAGCGAGAGGUGUGCGGGGAGUCCUGCGGCACGUCUUUUCCAGAGUCCCCACCGCCGGCCCAGGGAGCACCCCCCGCCCCCCGACGCCUGCAGGGCCCACCUCCUGGCUGCUGCUGCCCUGUUGGGGGGCUCUUCUGCCUCCUUCCCAGGCUAGCCGGCCCGGUUCCGGGAGGGGGGACGUCAGUCCUCACUGCCCUUGUCCUGUUCUCCGGGCCGCCCAGCGAGGCCUGCUCCCUGCCGGGAUGCGCUCAAGUCCACUCUGGCUGCCAGCCUGCUGCCCAGCCUGGCAAGGGGCGGGUUCAGCAGCCUCGCCUUCUCUGGCCGCUGCCCGCGCGCAAAGUCGUGGGUGGGGGGAAGUAGCAGCACAAUCAAACCCAUGAGCUUGUCCCCUUCGGGACUAUAAAAUCUUUUUAAUCAAGAGAUAAUUUGGUAUCUAGUAAACUACAGAGUACUCCAAUCAAAGUACAUCCAGUGCUUUGAAAUCCUUAAUUCUCCGCCAACGUGUUCAAGAGCCAGUCCGCAUCCACGGUUUUAUGAACCAUUCAGCUCACUCAUGUCGAACAGAUCAUCAGCAUUUUCUUACAAAACAUCUUGGUGAACUGAAUUGAGAUAAUUUUUGAACAUUUAUUUAUAGAGCUACGAGGAAUCCUGAUAUCCUAACAUGCGAACACCCUGCCUUGGGAUCUUCUAGAUCUCAUUCAAUCCUCCCAACAACAAUCCUCAACAACAAGAUGGAUUCCAUCGUCCUUAUCUUCCUUUUAUUUGAAAAUGAGACCUAGAGCGUUUAGCAACCCGGAGUUGCAAGGCCGGCAAGUGGCAGAGCCUGACCUAGAAAGCACGAGGAGCUGGUUCCAAGGCCGAUGUGCUGGCUUCUUUGCUAAGCUGCCUCAGUUUCCACACUUUUAAGAAGGAUGAUAUUGGACUCAUUGGGUUGACGUGGGGACUAGGCGCAAGCAUUCAUCUGCAUGCUUAGCGCAGUAUCCCUUAUCAAAAGUUAUAGUCAUCGGGGCGCCCGGGUGGCUCAGUGGUUGAGAGUCCGCCUUCGGCUCAGGGUGUGACCCUGGGGUCCCGGGAUCGAGUCCCACAUCAGGCUCCCCGCAGGGAGCCUGCUUCUCCCUUGGCUUGUGUCUCUGCCUCUCUGUGUGUCUGUAAUGAAUAAAUAAAAUCUUUUUUUUAAGAAGUUACA